Molecule: ribosomal RNA, 417 nt
Filed under: Alexandrium pseudogonyaulax
Lineage: Eukaryota; Dinophyceae; Gonyaulacales; Pyrocystaceae
Description: SSU rRNA
Rfam family: Eukaryotic small subunit ribosomal RNA
Source: RNAcentral
CCAGCAGCCGCGGUAAUUCCAGCUCCAAUAGCGUAUAUUAAAAUUGUUGCGGUUAAAAAGCUCGUAGUUGGAUUUCUGCUGAUGGUGGCUGGUCCGCCCUCUGGGUGAGUAUCUGGCACAACCACAGCACUUCCCAAAAACAUAACUGCACUUGACUGUGUGGUGUGGUAUUGGGAAAUUUUACUUUGAGGAAAUCAGAGUGUUUCAAGCAGGCAUCCGCCUUGAAUACAUUAGCAUGGAAUAAUAUUAUAGGAUCUUGGUUCUAUUUUGUUGGUUUUUAUAGCCGAGGUAAUGACAAAUAGGGAUAGUUGGGGGCAUUCGUAUUUAAUUGUCAGAGGUGAAAUUCUUGGAUUUAUUAAAGACGGACUACUGCGAAAGCAUUUGCCAAGGAUGUUUUCAUUGAUCAAGAACGAAAGU